Molecule: unclassified non-coding RNA, 4153 nt
Filed under: Chelonus insularis
Lineage: Eukaryota; Metazoa; Arthropoda; Insecta; Hymenoptera; Braconidae
Description: glycoprotein endo-alpha-1,2-mannosidase-like, transcript variant X9
Source: RNAcentral
AAGAGCGUCCAACAAAUUAUCUAAUUCUACUUUACCUCUAAAGAAAAAUGUUAUGUUAGUGGAAGAAAAGUAUGGAUGCGUAUUCAUUUCAUUGCGCAUGUAUAAAUGUACAUCGUGUGUGUACAUAUUCAUGUUUGUGUAAAUCGCUCAUUACCAAAAAACAAUUAUACAUAUGCAGUUUAUGGAUUCAGUGAAGAGUAGAAUAAUUUGUUUAAUCGGGGUCAAUAAAAAUUUAAAUUAAUUUCUAUUUGAAAAACUUAUUGAUUGUUUAAUCGAGUAACUCAUAUUUGAAAAUGAUACCAAAUAUUUAAUCAUGAUAAAAUUAAUUGUUCUAUACGCAUACGAUAGUUAUUUAUCUUCUACGAUAUCAGUGCCAUAUUAAUCGACAAUAACAAAAUAAAGAGAAUUUGCAAUGAUGCUGGGAAGUUUUGUUAGUGCUGUUUCACUGCGAAGAUGUUUUUAUUUAUCGUCAAUGGUAUUUAUUUUGUCUACCUUAAUGGCAAUGAUGAUUAUAGUGAAAUUAACACCGUUAGAAUCUACAAAGUGUAAUUCCGCAAAUGCUGAUGAGACAACAGCUCGAAUUGAAUGGAGCAGUGCUAUACCUAUUGGAUCAAUAGCACAUAAUCGGUACUCAGAUAAUAAUGGCUCACUAUUUAUUAAUUCGCAAUUAAAUUCCAAUAAUGAAAGUCAACGGGAAUAUCGUGAUGAUAAGUUCUCAGACAUUAGGAUCAAUACUAAUAAAAAUAAUAUGCAAAUCAAAGUGCCAGAUUUAUCUUGGAAAAUGAGAAAUAAAGUUUUACCUUUAUUAUCUCAAAAAAAUGCCAAAGAUUUUGAUGUUAAUUAUCAUGUUCACAUUUUUUAUUAUCCAUGGUAUCGUUCUUUAUCAUAUGACGGCUAUUGGAAGCAUUGGAAUCAUAAUUAUAUACCCAAUUGGAAAAAAAAUGACAAGAAAGUUUAUCCAGUAGGUACUCAUCAACCACCCGCUGAUAUUGGAACUAAUUUUUAUCCUAGCCUUGGAUGUUACAGUUCCAAUGAUCCACAGGUGAUUGAUCUACACAUGAAACAGUUGAAGGAAACUGGUGUUGGAGUAUUGGUAGUUUCUUGGAUACCACCUAAUCUUCCCGAUAGUACAGAUUCACUAAUGGCUGAUUUAUUAGACGCAGCGCAUCGAUACAGUUUAAAAAUAGCUCCUCAUAUUGAGCCUUAUCCAGGAAGGAAUCCUAUUAAUUUAAUUGACCACAUUAAAUAUUUAUUUGAGCGAUAUGCAUCACAUCCUGCUCUUCAUAGAGUUAAAAAGCCUAAAACUGGAGUUUUGUUACCGAUGAUCUACAUUUACGAUUCGUAUUUAUUCCCACCAAGUGCUUGGUGGGAACUUUUGUCCGAACGAGGAAAUUUAACUCUUCGAAGAACUGAAUUUGAUGCCGUGUACAUUGGAUUAUUAGUAGAUUCACAGCAUCGUAGUCAAAUUAAAAAAUCUCACUUUGAUGGUUUCUACACUUAUUUUGCUGUUAAUGGGUUCAGUUAUGGAAGCACUUGGAAAAAUUGGAAAGAUUUGAAUAAAUUCGCAAACGAUAACGAUCUUCUAUUUAUUCCUAGUGUUGGACCUGGCUACAUUGACACACAGGUGCGUCCAUGGAAUGCUGAAAAUAUUAGAUAUCGUCGUCACGGACAAUAUUAUGAAGUGGCGUGGAAAAGUGCAAUGAAUAGUGGAGCAAACAUAGUAUCUAUUACAUCUUUCAACGAAUGGCAUGAAGGAACUCAAAUUGAACCAGCAAAACCUAUGGCCUUGUUGGUAUCUCAUUUAUCGGUAAUAAAGGAAUUAUUAUAUCCCUAGCCAUGUUACUUACCGUGCAGCGCUGCUGUACUAUUUUAAAACAAUGAAACAAUUUAUAAUAAAAAUUCAAAAAUGGCUAAUUUGUGUCAACGGUCGUGAUCUCAUUAUCAGAUAUUUUUUUUAUUGUAAAAAAAUGCAGAUCUUUAAAACUUAUAACUUGUUAUAAUUUCGCAAUACUGACCAUUUCAACAUGAUAAAAGAAUAUUUGUUUUCUGAAUGAUAAUGACGAUUUGAUCCAGUGUUUAUUUAGUGAACUUUAUAACCAAGAAAACCCAACUUACAUCUAAAUAUAUCACUGAUUCCAAUGAUCAAUAAUAUUUUGGUUCUGGUUGCUUUGAAAAGAGAAAGCGGAAAAUGAAUGUGAUUCUUUUCCAAUAAAGAUUAAAUUAUUGAAUAGUGUUGUGACCAGGAACACCAGAAUUCAAGGAUGAUGACUAAUAAGCUAGUUGUAGAUAGUUAUUUUCAAACGUUACAUCCAUGGGUAGAUGGUGUAGCAUAGCUGCUUGCUUACUUGUUGGUUAAAUGCUAUUUUACUGACCGCACUUGCAAGCUAUGAUUAUGUAAGACCUUCUGUGUACCCUUUCUACGUGCUUCGCAUUGUCGCUUAAUUCUCUGUAAACAUAUUUUAAUGUUUCAACGAAACCGAUGAAGAUUUUUAUCAAUUAAACAAAUAUUCUAGUCAUUUUUAGCGAUGAUUCUUGUUCAACUUGACCUACUCACCUCAAGCACUUAUACCACCGGAAUUGGUAAUAUAAGUUUUUUCGAUUCAACGCAAAGUCUGAGUUAUUAACACUUAAAUAGACGUUUAGAAUAUGAAUGUAUAUUAGUAAAGUGCUUGUUACGAUUAUACUCUUAAUACAAUUAAUCAAAAUGACCGUGAUGAUAACCUCGACUUUCGGAUCAUAUUCUAAUUCUCAUUAAAGUGGAAGAUACAAAAAUGAAACUAUUAUCAAUGAUAAAUAUAUGUCAUUUGAUAGCUAUAAUAAAUUGAAGUGAAAAAUUUUAUGGUUCUUGAUUAUGAAUGAAUUAAAUGUAGGAGUUUAUACUCGACUGACUUUAUGUGUUUCUUAAUUAAUAAUUAUAUUCAAUGAGGAAAGUUGUUAGCGGAAUGAAAGAGACAUAGGUGAUGAUAUAUUAUUCUAUGUAGAAUUUACUAGCAUUCUUGCACGUUGGUUAUAAAGCUUUAAAUGAUCUAUAAAGCCAUAGAAUGUAGAGAGGGAACAGAGAAAAAGAAUUGACCUGGUUUCUUUUGAUGCAAAGGAUUACGUUAGAAAACAACUCGUUACAAGUGAAACGUUUGGACAAAAGCCUCUAUAUAUGACGUAAAUCACAAAAUAGACUAGAAUGCAUUUUUUCUAUAUCUUGUUGGUGUUGUUCAACUUGGGAUGGCAUAGUCAAAAGCCGCGCCUUCACUUUUCCGCUUCCUACUGCCCCACUAACAAGACUACAUCGGUUCCUGAAAUAGAACUGCGUGGUUAGCUGACGAGGAAGAUGGACGCAAAUAUAAGAAGAAUCAGACCCCAGAUAGACAGAUGUUGGUAAACUUAAAGAUAGAAAAGGAAAGUAAGACAGGAAUGAGGUCAGUGUAUUGAUAUCAAAAGUUGAAUUAACCGCCUAAACUUUUAUCGUAUCGCUUGACCUUUAUGAUCUAUUUUCAAAUUGUUCCUUAUCGUAUACUCUGCAUCUUUUUAAUCCGUAUAUUAUUUUUAAAUACUAUUUAUCAAUGAUUUGAAAAAAAUCAAAGGGUCCAUGAGGAAAUUGAAGAAUGAGUACCGUGGGACUAUUAUGAUGAUAAUAAUGAUGACAGUGUGCCAGAUGGAUGCUUUAUGUUUUGCAAUUGUUCACAACUUUGCACAAAUGCACAUUCAUGGAGUACUAACCAAAUAAAUGAAGACAAAUAAGUUCUAGACGGUUGCGGAACCUUGCAUGUAAUGUAAAUUGACAUUAAGACAAGUAGCUUUAUAGAAUGAAGCAAUCAUAUUAUUGUUCACCUUUGUUACUAAGAGUCAUCAGGAAACGACUCAAUGAUGUAUUACAAUAUUUCUGGAUCAAUUAGAUCAACCAGGAUUGGCCAAUGGGUGUGGUACUAUUGAUAGCUUGAAGAUAUAAUAAAUAGGAAUAAAUAUCUGGUUUUUUCCGAAUUCAAUAUCAUAUUUUACGAUUGUAUACUUUCUUAUUCUUGGUGUCCUUGGUGAGUAGAGCUAAAGCGCGAACAAUAUGCAUAGUACGGAUAUAUGACAUGUGAAAAUGCCCAUGUCGUAGGAAGUGAAGUCCUUGAAAAGCACAAACGAGGUAACGAGACAAGAUUUAAAUUAUCUU